RNAcentral lists this ribosomal RNA (468 nucleotides) under uncultured Anaerolineaceae bacterium. RNAcentral describes it as "bacterial SSU rRNA". It matches the Rfam family "Bacterial small subunit ribosomal RNA", at positions 900 to 1382 of the family's 1533-position model. The record is from RNAcentral. Lineage: Bacteria; Bacillati; Chloroflexota; Anaerolineae; Anaerolineales; Anaerolineaceae.
CUUAAAGGAAUUGACGGGACCCGCACAAGCAGCGGAGCGUGUGGUUUAAUUCGUUGCUACACGAAGAACCUUACCUGGGUUUGACAUAUAGGUUGUAGGGAACUGAAAAGGGACCGACCCUUCGGGGAGCCUAUACAGGUGUUGCAUGGCUGUCGUCAGCUCGUGUCGUGAGAUGUUCGGUUAAGUCCGCUAACGAGCGCAACCCUCGUCGUAUGUUAUAUGUGUCAUACGAGACUGCCGGUAAAAAGCCGGAGGAAGGUGAGGAUGAUGUCAAGUCAGCAUGACCUUUAUAUCCAGGGCUACACACACGCUACAAUGGUCUGUACAAUGGGUAGCCAAGCCGCGAGGCGGAGCCAAUCCUGAAAGCAGGCCUCAGUUCAGAUUGCAGUCUGCAACUCGACUGCAUGAAGCCGGAGUUGCUAGUAACCGCAGGUCAGCAAUACUGCGGUGAAUACGUUCCCGGGUCUU